UGGGGAAUAUUGCACAAUGGACGGAAGUCUGAUGCAGCAACGCCGCGUGUGGGAUGACGGUUUUCGGAUUGUAAACCACUUUCGGCAGGGACGAAGCGUGAGUGACGGUACCUGUAGAAGAAGCACCGGCCAACUACGUGCCAGCAGCCGCGGUGAUACGUAGGGUGCGAGCGUUGUCCGGAAUUAUUGGGCGUAAAGAGCUUGUAGGCGGUUGAUCGCGUCGGAAGUGAAAACUCAGGGCUUAACUUUGAGCGUGCUUUCGAUACGGGUUGACUAGAGGGACGUAGGGGAGAAUGGAAUUCCUGGUGGAGCGGUGGAAUGCGCAGAUAUCAGGAGGAACACCAGUGGCGAAGGCGGUUCUCUGGACGUUACCUGACGCUGAGAAGCGAAAGCGUGGGGAGCAAACAGGCUUAGAUACCCUGGUAGUCCACGCCGUAAACGGUGGGUACUAGGUGUGGGGUCCAUUCCACGGAUUCCGUGCCGUAGCUAACGCAUUAAGUACCCCGCCUGGGGAGUACGGCCGCAAGGCUA
This 531-nucleotide ribosomal RNA is filed under the name uncultured bacterium. Its description in RNAcentral is "bacterial SSU rRNA". It matches the Rfam family "Bacterial small subunit ribosomal RNA", at positions 355 to 896 of the family's 1533-position model. The record is from RNAcentral.